GACGAACGCUGGCGGCGUGCCUAAUACAUGCAAGUCGAACGCAGUGGGGACGGGUGAGUAACACGUGGGUAACCUCCCAUCAGAGGGGAUAACACUUGGAAACAGGUGCUAAACUGAUACUGAUGGAUGGACCCGCGGUGCAUUAGCUAGUUGGUGAGGUAACGGCUCACCAAGGCCACGAUGCAUAGCCGACCUGGAAGGGUGAUCGGCCAAACUGAGACAGAGACACGGCACAGAGUCCUACGAGAGGCAGCAGUAGGGAAUCUUCGGCAAUGGACGAAAGGCUGACCGAGCAACGCAGCGUGAGUGAAGAAGGUUUUCGGAUCGUAAAACUCUGUUGUUAGAGAAGCGGUAGCUAACCAGAAAGCCACGGCUAACUACGUGCCAGCAGCCGCGGUAAUAC
This 403-nucleotide ribosomal RNA is filed under the name uncultured bacterium. Its description in RNAcentral is "partial 16S ribosomal RNA". It matches the Rfam family "Bacterial small subunit ribosomal RNA", at positions 28 to 526 of the family's 1533-position model. The record is from RNAcentral.